GAUGAAGAACGCAGCGAAAUGCGAAAAGUAAUGUGAAUUGCAGAAUUCAGUGAACCAUCGAAUCUUUGAACGCACAUUGCGCCCGCUGGAACUCCGGCGGGCACGCCUGUCCGAGCGUCAUUUCAACCCUCAGGCCCCCCUUCGCGGGCGGGCCUGGUGUUGGGGCCCGGCCGCUACCCUGCGGCCGUCCCCUAAAUUCAGUGGCGGCCUCGCCGUGAUCCCUUGCGUAGUAAUGCACCUCGCACCGGAGAGCGCCGUGGCCACGCCGUAAAACCCCCAAUUUCCAAUGGUUGACCUCGGAUCAGGUGGGAAUACCCGCUGAACUUAAGCAUAUCAAUAAGCGGAGGA
RNAcentral lists this unclassified non-coding RNA (348 nucleotides) under soil metagenome. Its description in RNAcentral is "partial contains 5.8S ribosomal RNA, internal transcribed spacer 2, and large subunit ribosomal RNA". The stretch from base 1 to 120 matches the Rfam family "5.8S ribosomal RNA", at positions 35 to 154 of the family's 154-position model. The record is from RNAcentral.